Molecule: ribosomal RNA, 497 nt
Filed under: uncultured Pseudomonadota bacterium
Lineage: Bacteria; Pseudomonadati; Pseudomonadota
Description: bacterial SSU rRNA
Rfam family: Bacterial small subunit ribosomal RNA
Source: RNAcentral
UGGGGAAUUUUGGACAAUGGGCGCAAGCCUGAUCCAGCCAUGCCGCGUGCGGGAAGAAGGCCUUCGGGUUGUAAACCGCUGUUGUCAGGGAAGAAAAGGUUCUGGCUAAUACCUGGGACUCAUGACGGUACCUGAAGAAUAAGCACCGGCUAACUACGUGCCAGCAGCCGCGGUAAUACGUAGGGUGCAAGCGUUAAAUCGGAAUUACUGGGCGUAAAGCGAGCGCAGGCGGUUAUGCAAGACAGAGGUGAAAUCCCCGGGCUCAACCUGGGAACUGCCUUUGUGACUGCAUGGCUAGAGUACGGUAGAGGGGGAUGGAAUUCCGCGUGUAGCAGUGAAAUGCGUAGAUAUGCGGAGGAACACCGAUGGCGAAGGCAAUCCCCUGGACCUGUACUGACGCUCAUGCACGAAAGCGUGGGGAGCAAACAGGAUUAGAUACCCUGGUAGUCCACGCCCUAAACGAUGUCAACUGGUUGUUGGGAGGGUUUCUUCUCUAA